This 406-nucleotide ribosomal RNA is filed under the name uncultured bacterium. RNAcentral's name for it is "partial 16S ribosomal RNA". It matches the Rfam family "Bacterial small subunit ribosomal RNA", at positions 30 to 526 of the family's 1533-position model. The record is from RNAcentral.
AUUGAACGCUGGCGGCAGGCCUAACACAUGCAAGUCGAGCGCGCGGCGGACGGGUGAGUAAUGUCUGGGAAACUGCCUGAUGUAGGGGGAUAACUACUGGAAACGGUAGCUCAUACCGCAUACCAUCAGAUGUGCCCAGAUGGGAUUAGCUAGUAUGUGGGGUAAUGUCUCACCAAGGCGACGCUCCCUAGCUGGUCUGAGAGGAUGACCAGCCACACUGGGACUGAGACACGGUCCAGACUCCUACGGGAGGCAGCAGUGGGGAAUAUUGCAAAAUGGGCGAAAGCCUGAGGCAGCCAUGCCGCGUGUGUGAAGAAGGCCUUCGGGUUGUAAAGCACUUUCAGCGGGGAGGCGGUACCUGCAGAAGAAGCACCGGCUAACUACGUGCCAGCAGCCGCGGUAAUAC